GAUGAACGCUAGCGGCAGGCUUAACACAUGCAAGUCGAGGGGCAGCAUGAGGGUUAGCAAUAACCCUUGAUGGCGACCGGCGCAAGGGUGCGUAACGCGUGAGCAACUUGCCCGUUUCAGGGGGAUAACCGGUGGAAACGCCGACUAAUACCCCAUAGUAUGUUUUUGAGGCAUCUCAGAAACAUUAAAGAAUUUCGGAAACGGAUAGGCUCGCGUGACAUUAGCUUGAUGGCGGGGUAACGGCCCACCAUGGCGACGAUGUCUAGGGGUUCUGAGAGGAAGGUCCCCCACACUGGAACUGAGACACGGUCCAGACUCCUACGGGAGGCAGCAGUGAGGAAUAUUGGUCAAUGGUCUGACGACUGAACCAGCCAUGCCGCGUGAAGGUCACGGCCCUAUGGGUCUUAAACUUCUUUUGCGAGGGAGCAAUAAGGCGCACGUGUGCGUCGAUGAGAGUACCUCGCGAAUAAGCAUCGGCUAACUCCGUGCCAGCA
RNAcentral lists this ribosomal RNA (494 nucleotides) under uncultured bacterium. RNAcentral describes it as "bacterial SSU rRNA". It matches the Rfam family "Bacterial small subunit ribosomal RNA", at positions 28 to 513 of the family's 1533-position model. The record is from RNAcentral.